Long non-coding RNA from Onychostoma macrolepis, 752 nucleotides. RefSeq lists it as uncharacterized. The transcript is spliced from 4 exons. The record is from RefSeq and is a predicted model, not a curated record. Lineage: Eukaryota; Metazoa; Chordata; Actinopteri; Cypriniformes; Cyprinidae.
AAUUUGCAGCAUUUAACUGUAAACCCGUUGGCGCCUUUAAAAAAACUGUUUUGCGCUGUAAAAAGCAGCAUGUGAGGGGUGUGGAUUUUUUUUUUUUUAACAGUCGCCUUUUUCAGCGCGGUAAACAAGAUAACAUCACAGCUCGCCUCUUCCCUUCACCUCCGUUGUUUUGAAGGACACGGUUCAAGGGAGGACAGAGACCUGCAUUGAACGAUGGAUGAUUACCCUUGAGGGUCGCGUCAUUUGUGAAGGUGUACACCCAAGAUUUCUGACUGCAGUAGCAACAAUGUUCGCAAUGUACUACGUCUUUAACCUUCAGUAUACAGAGGAGGCAUGUGGCACAUUGGAAUUCAUUUAGAGACGAUUCAUUGGGAUAAACCCUGAAAAAGGCACGAAGACCAGCAGAGGCAAGGUUGUUUCAAAGAAAACUGGAAAGAUCGUGAACAAGACGACAGCUACUGUCAACCCCAAAGUCGCAUCCCUUCUAAAGAACCUCAUCGAUUUCGAAUGGGAUUUUGUCUAGACCCGGAUGUCCUGUCAGGUCAGAGCCAUCAGAAGCUGGAGUGAGACAUUUUUUUCGACUACUGGUUUGGUUAAAUGUUUGGUUGGCUAUGUGUUCCUAUCAGACUUGCACUUAGUCUCAUGCCAGAUUAAAACAAUAACAACAACAAAAACUUGUGGCAUUUUGGCAGGGUUUUUUUUUCUACUGUAUUUGUAGUUUUUUUUUUUUUUUUACACAGGGGUUCCUUUAA